GAAGGCAGCAGGCGCGCAAAUUACCCACUCCCGGCACGGGGAGGUAGUGACGAAAAAUAACGAUACGGGACUCAUCCGAGGCCCCGUAAUCGGAAUGAGUACACUCUAAACCCUUUAACGAGGAUCAAUUGGAGGGCAAGUCUGGUGCCAGCAGCCGCGGUAAUUCCAGCUCCAAUAGCGUAUAUUAAAGUUGUUGCGGUUAAAAAGCUCGUAGUCGAAUCUGUGUCCCGCGCCGCCGGUUCAUCGCUCGCGGUGUUUAACUGGCGUGUCCGCGGGACGUCCUGCCGGUGGGCUUAGCUCUUCGCGGGGCGGCCCAACUUCAAAUCCCACCGCGGUGCUCUUCACUGAGUGUCGAGGUGGGCCGGCACGUUUACUUUGAACAAAUUAGAGUGCUUAAAGCAGGCUAAAACUUCGCCUGAAUACUGUGUGCAUGGAAUAAUGGAAUAGGACCUCGGUUCUAUNUUGUUGGUUUUCGGAACCCCGAGGUAAUGAUUAAUAGAAACGGAUGGGGGCAUUCGUAUUGCGACGUUAGAGGUGAAAUUCUUGGAUCGUCGCAAGACGGACAGAAGCGAAAGCAUUUGCCAAAAACGCUUUCAUUGAUCAAGAACGAAAGUUAGAGGUUCGAAGGCGAUCAGAUACCGCCCUAGUUCUAACCAUAAACGAUGCCAGCUAGCGAUCCGCCGACGUUCCUCCGAUGACUCGGCGGGCAGCUUCCGGGAAACCAAAGCUUUUGGGUUCCGGGGGAAGUAUGGUUGCAAAGCUGAAACUUAAAGGAAUUGACGGAAGGGCACCACCAGGAGUGGAGCCUGCGGCUUAAUUUGACUCAACACGGGAAACCUCACCAGGCCCGGACACCGGAAGGAUUGACAGAUUGAGAGCUCUUUCUUGAUUCGGUGGGUGGUGGUGCAUGGCCGUUCUUAGUUGGUGGAGCGAUUUGUCUGGUUAAUUCCGAUAACGAACGAGACUCUAGCCUGCUAACUAGGCGUAUUUUCGACAUCUCAAAGGCCCGCCGGCCCGGCGCUCUUGUGUCGCGGUCGCGCGCGGUUUUUACUGUCGGCGUACAAUCAAUUCUUCUUAGAGGGACAGGCGGCUUCUAGCCGCACGAGAUUGAGCAAUAACAGGUCUGUGAUGCCCUUAGAUGUUCUGGGCCGCACGCGCGCUACACUGAAGGAAUCAGCGUGUCCUCCCUGGCCGAGAGGCCCGGGUAACCCGCUGAACCUCCUUCGUGCUAGGGAUUGGGGCUUGCAAUUGUUCCCCAUGAACGAGGAAUUCCCAGUAAGCGCGAGUCAUAAGCUCGCGUUGAUUACGUCCCUGCCCUUUGUACACACCGCCCGUCGCUACUACCGAUUGAAUGAUUUAGUGAGGUCUUCGGACCGGUACGCGGUGGCGCACCCGCGUCGCCGAUGUUGCUGGGAAGAUGACCAAA
This 1426-nucleotide ribosomal RNA is filed under the name Horelophus walkeri. Its description in RNAcentral is "SSU rRNA". It matches the Rfam family "Eukaryotic small subunit ribosomal RNA", at positions 421 to 1763 of the family's 1831-position model. Lineage: Eukaryota; Metazoa; Arthropoda; Insecta; Coleoptera; Hydrophilidae. The record is from RNAcentral.